GAUGAACGCUGGCGGCGUGCCUAAUACAUGCAAGUCGAGCGAACAGAUAAGGAGCUUGCUCCUUUGACGUUAGCGGCGGACGGGUGAGUAACACGUGGGUAACCUACCUAUAAGACUGGAAUAACUCCGGGAAACCGGGGCUAAUGCCGGAUAACAUUUAGAACCGCAUGGUUCUAAAGUGAAAGAUGGUUUUGCUAUCACUUAUAGAUGGACCCGCGCCGUAUUAGCUAGUUGGUAAGGUAACGGCUUACCAAGGCAACGAUACGUAGCCGACCUGAGAGGGUGAUCGGCCACACGGGAACUGAGACACGGUCCAGACUCCUACGAGAGGCAGCAGUAGGGAAUCUUCCGCAAUGGGCGAAAGCCUGACGGAGCAACGCCGCGUGAGUGAUGAAGGUCUUCGGAUCGUAAAACUCUGUUAUUAGGGAAGAACAAAUGUGUAAGUAACUGUGCACGUCUUGACGGUACCUAAUCAGAAAGCCACGGCUAACUACGUG
RNAcentral lists this ribosomal RNA (497 nucleotides) under uncultured bacterium. RNAcentral describes it as "partial 16S ribosomal RNA". It matches the Rfam family "Bacterial small subunit ribosomal RNA", at positions 28 to 507 of the family's 1533-position model. The record is from RNAcentral.